RNAcentral lists this small nucleolar RNA (107 nucleotides) under Gossypium hirsutum (cotton). Its description in RNAcentral is "Plant small nucleolar RNA R71". It matches the Rfam family "Plant small nucleolar RNA R71". From Rfam's summary of the family: R71 is a member of the C/D box family of snoRNAs containing the C (UGAUGA) and D (CUGA) box motifs. Multiple nearly identical copies of this snoRNA have been identified in Arabidopsis, and it is thought to function as a 2'-O-ribose methylation guide for 18S ribosomal RNA. Lineage: Eukaryota; Viridiplantae; Streptophyta; Magnoliopsida; Malvales; Malvaceae. The record is from Rfam by way of RNAcentral.
AAUCUAUGAUGGGAGCAUUUAUGUAUUAUUGCUUUAAAAUGCUCCCAAGCUUCGCGAAAGCUCUCUCCUUCUAAUUGUUUGAACGUUGGGAUCUCUCUCCUUAGUUG